This 253-nucleotide ribosomal RNA is filed under the name uncultured bacterium. RNAcentral's name for it is "partial 16S ribosomal RNA". It matches the Rfam family "Bacterial small subunit ribosomal RNA", at positions 524 to 776 of the family's 1533-position model. The record is from RNAcentral.
UACGUAGGGGGCAAGCGUUGUCCGGAAUCAUUGGGCGUAAAGCGCGUGUAGGCGGUCCGGUAAGUCGGCUGUGAAAGUCCAGGGCUCAACCCUGGGAUGCCGGUCGAUACUGCCGGACUAGAGUUCGGAAGAGGCGAGUGGAAUUCCCGGUGUAGCGGUGAAAUGCGCAGAUAUCAGGAAGAACACCCGUGGCUAAGGCGGCUCUCUAGUACGGUACUGACGCUGAGACGCGAAAGCGUGGGGAGCGAACAGG